This 520-nucleotide ribosomal RNA is filed under the name uncultured Entrophospora. Its description in RNAcentral is "SSU rRNA". It matches the Rfam family "Eukaryotic small subunit ribosomal RNA", at positions 569 to 1084 of the family's 1831-position model. Lineage: Eukaryota; Fungi; Glomeromycota; Glomeromycetes; Entrophosporales; Entrophosporaceae. The record is from RNAcentral.
AGCAGCCGCGGUAAUUCCAGCUCCAAUAGCGUAUAUUAAAGUUGUUGCAGUUAAAAAGCUCGUAGUUGAAUUUCGGGAUUGGCGCAUCGGUCGUGCCUCACGGGGUAUGAACUGGUGCAGUCAAUUUCUCACCUUCUGGAGAACCGCGAUGUCCUUAAUUGGAUGCCGCGGGGAACCAGGACCUUUACUUUGAAAAAAUUAGAGUGUUUAAAGCAGGCAUUUUUGCUUGAAUACAUUAGCAUGGAAUAAUAAAAUAGGACGGCAUGGUUCUAUUUUGUUGGUUUCUAGGACCACCGUAAUGAUUAAUAGGGAUAGUUGGGGGCAUUAGUAUUCAAUUGUCAGAGGUGAAAUUCUUGGAUUUAUUGAAGACUAACUACUGCGAAAGCAUUUGCCAAGGAUGUUUUCAUUAAUCAAGAACGAAAGUUAGGGGAUCGAAGACGAUCAGAUACCGUCGUAGUCUUAACCAUAAACUAUGCCGACUAGGAAUCAGACGAUGUAAUUUUUUAAUGACUCGUUUGGU